GAUGAACGCUGGCGGCGUGCCUAAUACAUGCAAGUCGAGCGAACAGACGAGGAGCUUGCUCCUCUGACGUUAGCGGCGGACGGGUGAGUAACACGUGGAUAACCUACCUAUAAGACUGGGAUAACUUCGGGAAACCGGAGCUAAUACCGGAUAAUAUAUUGAACCGCAUGGUUCAAUAGUGAAAGACGGUUUUGCUGUCACUUAUAGAUGGAUCCGCGCCGCAUUAGCUAGUUGGUAAGGUAACGGCUUACCAAGGCAACGAUGCGUAGCCGACCUGAGAGGGUGAUCGGCCACACUGGAACUGAGACACGGUCCAGACUCCUACGGGAGGCAGCAGUAGGGAAUCUUCCGCAAGGGGCGAAAGCGUGACGGAGCAACGCCGCGUGAGUGAUGAAGGUCUACGGAUCGUAAAACUCUGUUAUUAGGGAAGAACAAAUGUGUAAGUAACUAUGCACGUCUUGACGGUACCUAAGCAGAAAGCCACGGCUAACUACGU
RNAcentral lists this ribosomal RNA (496 nucleotides) under uncultured bacterium. Its description in RNAcentral is "partial 16S ribosomal RNA". It matches the Rfam family "Bacterial small subunit ribosomal RNA", at positions 28 to 506 of the family's 1533-position model. The record is from RNAcentral.